Non-coding RNA from Physcomitrium patens, 1253 nucleotides. The record is from RefSeq and is a predicted model, not a curated record. Lineage: Eukaryota; Viridiplantae; Streptophyta; Bryopsida; Funariales; Funariaceae.
UCAGUUACGUCCUUGAUGCCAUUCAAUACAGUCCAUUUUGCACAUCUGAUAGUUUUCAAACACACAUUAAUAAUAAUAAUAUUAUUAAUAUUAUUAAUAUUAUUUCUAGCAUUCUUACCAAUAAUAAUUCAACACAAUACAAGUAAAUGUCGUCCUCAGGAUAAAUAUUCUGCCGCGCAUCAUGCUUGCAGGCUCGUCAAGAUGGCAGCCAUUUGAUGCCGUGCUGAAUCUUCUCUUCCACUGUUAGGUCAUCAAAUGGCUGCCUCUUCAACAGUAUAAGAAUUACGUGAAUCUCAGAGUAGUAUCUUCUUAUCUGUUUGACAUGGCUUCUCUACAUUGUUUGCAAUAACUGCACAGGCGUGGUCCAGGAACAAGUUCCUUGUGAUGGUCCUCACUCAUUUUGCUUACCAGAAUCGUGGUGGAUUUGAUUUCGUCUGAAAGUAGGGGUUACAAAGCAGGAAAAUGGGUUCAGUUUUGGAGAAACUCGUGUGUGCACAUAGUGCUAGUUGUUCACCCUACCGCCCAUGCUCCUCAAUUCAUGAUUUUGAAAUAUGGGUUUUGAAGAACAAGUAGGCGCUAGACAAAAGCAUUAAUUGUCAAAAGAGCUGCUUUCAAGAUUAUCCACAAAGCUGAUUGGAAGGAAAACAUGCUGAACCCAAGAACCUGCUCAAGCUGAGUUGCUCUCGAAAAGUCAAUCAUUAAGGCAAAUAUUUGCACGACAAAAGGAGUGGAAGGACUCAAACCUGGAUUCUAGAUAGUCGGAAGAAAUAGCUAGAGCCAUUCAAGGUUUGAAGAAGGUUGCCUGCUGGUGUGACUCGAAAUCCUAACCUGCGAAAAGAUGAAACAAGAGCAACAGUGGACCAACUCAGACAGUAAAUCUAAUGCAAUGCAGCUGAUAUCAAACCCAGAGAAAGAUUCGCUUACGUGCUUUGACCUGUCUAUCUCCACUUUCUAGAUGAACGAGUGGCUACGGACUGACUAGCUGACAAUAUCUUCCAACAUCAGUAAGGGUCACAUGCUUUUGAAUUCCACAUAAGGGUUUGGAACAUCUAGGAGCACAGUUACCUACAGCCACUAGCUGAGUUCACGAGGUGCUCAAGUACACAAAUUUCUGCAGGGAAUGUGAAUUAAAGGGCAGUCUGGAAAAACCGGUUUCUCCGGAGAGCUACCCUCAGUCUGAGGACUUCAUAUAAAACAUUAAGUAUGCUCACCUACUGAGACGUGAUAUCAAAACAUUGAUGCCUCUUAUCCCA